GACGCUGGCGGCAGGCCUAAUCAUGCAAGUCGAGCGCGCCCUUCGGGGUGAGCGGCGGACGGGUUAGUAACGCGUGGGAACGUGCCCUUCUCUAAGGAAUAGCCACUGGAAACGGUGAGUAAUACCUUAUACGCCCCCCAAUCAAAUUCCAUUUGGUUGACGGAAAUUCUGUUGAAUGCCGGAUGGCAUUUGAUGGGGGGGAAAGAUUUAUCGGAGAAGGAUCGGCCCGCGUUAGAUUAGAUAGUUGGUGGGGUAAUGGCCUACCAAGUCUACGAUCUAUAGCUGGUUUUAGAGGAUGAUCAGCAACACUGGGACUGAGACACGGCCCAGACUCCUACGGGAGGCAGCAGUAGGGAAUCUUGGACAAUGGGCGCAAGCCUGAUCCAGCCAUGCCGCGUGAGUGAAGAAGCCUUAGGGUCGUAAAGCUCUUUCGCCUGUGAUGAUAAUGACAGUAGCAGGUAAAGAAACCCCGGUUACUCCGUGCCACAGCCGCGGUAUACCGA
This 503-nucleotide ribosomal RNA is filed under the name uncultured Alphaproteobacteria bacterium. RNAcentral's name for it is "bacterial SSU rRNA". It matches the Rfam family "Bacterial small subunit ribosomal RNA", at positions 32 to 528 of the family's 1533-position model. Lineage: Bacteria; Pseudomonadati; Pseudomonadota; Alphaproteobacteria. The record is from RNAcentral.